UCGGCCAGGCCCCUCGGGCUGGGGGCAGCUCUGUCCCCUUAGGGGGAAGGGAGGCCCCCUCCUCACCACUGUCACUGUCCCUAGGGCAGACUUUCCCCCUAUCUAGGGCCCAGGUGGGAGGGAGAAAAGGAGAAAGGGAGGAAGGGCAGGGAGGCCUAGGGCAGAGACCUGGGCCGGGGCUCACCAGGGUAGAAGUCUUUGGACUUGGAGAGCUUGAUGGUGGCUCCUGUCUCCUUCUGCAGCUGCACGAUGGUCUGCCCGCCCUUGCCAAUGAUGGAGCCCGCCGCGUAGCUGGGGAUCAGCACCUUCAGGAAGUAUUCGCCUUCCUCUGCGGGGGCACACAGGGUGGAGGGAGGAACCCAUCAUACAGAUGAGGAAACAAAGGUGAAUAAAUCACCCAAGGACACUUGUAGAUGGCAGAGCUGAGACUUGAAGAGUCCGUGCUCUGAACUAUUAUGAUCAGCAGACUAUGGAGGAAGGAACAGAACCACGUGGCUAUGUGAAGGACGAGGAGGAGGUGGGAGGCCCCCACCCCACCCACUGCCAGGCCUCACGGAGAGGAAAGGGUGCACUCUGCCUGAAGCCAUCCCUCUCCCAUCCGGAGGAAAAGACCAGAGGAAGUGGAGAUUUUGGCAAGAUGAGGAAACAGCCUUAGGAGCAUACUUUGACUUCACUUGGUCAAGACAAGAAAUUUCGGCUGGGCGCGGUGGUUCAUGCCUGUCAUCCCAGUACUUUGGGAGGC
Molecule: non-coding RNA, 742 nt
Organism: Macaca mulatta (Rhesus monkey)
Lineage: Eukaryota; Metazoa; Chordata; Mammalia; Primates; Cercopithecidae
Source: RefSeq, a predicted model, not a curated record